UACGGAAGGCAGCAGUGGGGAAUAUUGUACAAUGGGCGCAAGCCUGAUGCAGCCAUGCCGCGUGUAUGAAGAAGGCCUUCGGGUUGUAAAGUACUUUCAGUCGUGAGGAAGGUGUUAAGGUUAAUAACCUUAGCAAUUGACGUUAGCGACAGAAGAAGCACCGGCUAACUCCGUGCCAGCAGCCGCGGUAAUACGGAGGGUGCGAGCGUUAAUCGGAAUUACUGGGCGUAAAGGGCACGCAGGCGGUUAAUUAAGUUGGAUGUGAAAUCCCCGGGCUUAACCUGGGAAUGGCAUUCAAGACUGGUUAGCUAGAGUCUUGUAGAGGGGGUAGAAUUCCAUGUGUAGCGGUGAAAUGCGUAGAGAUGUGGAGGAAUACCGGUGGCGAAGGCGGCCCCUGGACAAAGACUGACGCUCAUGUGCGAAAGCGUGGGGAGCAAACGAGGGAUUAGAUACC
This 454-nucleotide ribosomal RNA is filed under the name uncultured bacterium. RNAcentral's name for it is "bacterial SSU rRNA". It matches the Rfam family "Bacterial small subunit ribosomal RNA", at positions 340 to 786 of the family's 1533-position model. The record is from RNAcentral.